Molecule: ribosomal RNA, 443 nt
Filed under: Cavitermes parmae
Lineage: Eukaryota; Metazoa; Arthropoda; Insecta; Blattodea; Termitidae
Description: partial 16S ribosomal RNA
Rfam family: Bacterial large subunit ribosomal RNA
Source: RNAcentral
UUGGUCUUUGAGUUAAAAUACUUAGAUGUUUUUAUGGGACGAGAAGACCCUAUAGAGUUUGACAAUUUGCUUAUUGAUAUAUUAUUUUAGUUUGUUAUUGUUUAUUUAGUUGGUAGAAUUGUUUUGUUGGGGUGAUGGGAGGAAUAUUUAUUAACUCCUCUUUAUUAUGGUAUAUUCAUAUAUAUUUAUUUUGAUCCAUUAAUUUUGAUUAUAAGAUUAAAUUACCUUAGGGAUAACAGCGUUAUCUUCCUUGAGAGUUCUUAUUGGCGGGGAGGUUUGCGACCUCGAUGUUGGAUUAAGGUGAAUUUUCGGUGCAGGAGCUGAGAUUGAUUAGGUCUGUUCGACCUUUAAAACCUUACAUGAUCUGAGUUCAGACCGGCGUGAGCCAGGUUGGUUUCUAUCUAUUAUAUUAUUUUAUGUCUUAGUACGAGAGGACCGGGCAU